UAAGACAGAGGGGGCAAGCGUUGCUCGGAAUCACUGGGCGUAAAGGGCGCGUAGGCGGGAUGGCAAGUCAGUCGUGAAAUCUCUCGGCUCAACCGAGAAACGUCGGCUGAUACUGCCGUUCUUGAGGGAUGCAGAGGAGACUGGAAUUCCCGGUGUAGCGGUGAAAUGUGUAGAGAUCGGGAGGAACACCGGUGGCGAAGGCGGGUCUCUGGGCAUCUCCUGACGCUGAGGCGCGAAAGCGUGGGGAGCAAACGGGAUUAGAUACCCCGGUAGUCCACGCUGUAAACGAUGACGACUAGGUGUGGGGUGGUUCAGUCCAUUCCGUGCCGCAGCUAACGCAUUAAGUCGUCCGCCUGGGGAGUACGGCCGCAAGGUUG
Molecule: ribosomal RNA, 377 nt
Filed under: uncultured bacterium
Lineage: Bacteria
Description: bacterial SSU rRNA
Rfam family: Bacterial small subunit ribosomal RNA
Source: RNAcentral